CCCUUAGAUGUUCUGGGCUGCACGCGCGCUACACUGAAGCGUUCAACGAGUAUUCACCUUGCCCGGGAGGGUUGGGUAAUCUUUUGAAAACGCUUCGUGAUGGGGAUAGAUUAUUGCAAUUAUUAAUCUUCAACGAGGAAUUCCUAGUAAGCGCGAGUCAUCAGCUCGUGCCGAUUACGUCCCUGCCCUUUGUACACACCGCCCGUCGCUACUACCGAUUGAAUGGCUCAGUGAGGCCUUCGGACUGGCCCAGGGAGGUUGGCAACGACCACCCAGGGCCGGAAAGUUGGUCAAACUUGGUCAUUUAGAGGAAGUAAAAGUCGUAACA
RNAcentral lists this ribosomal RNA (328 nucleotides) under uncultured eukaryote. RNAcentral's name for it is "partial 18S ribosomal RNA". It matches the Rfam family "Eukaryotic small subunit ribosomal RNA", at positions 1470 to 1796 of the family's 1831-position model. The record is from RNAcentral.